CCACACCUACGGGUGGCAGCAGUCGAGAAUUUUUCUCAAUGGGGGAAACCCUGAAGGAGCGACGCCGCGUGGAGGAUGAAGGUCUUCGGAUUGUAAACUCCUGUCAUUUGGGAACAAUUGUCAGCUAUUAACUACAGCGGACUUGAUAGUACCAGAAGAGGAAGAGACGGCUAACUCUGUGCCAGCAGCCGCGGUAAUACAGAGGUCUCAAGCGUUGUUCGGAUUCAUUGGGCGUAAAGGGUGCGUAGGUGGCGGGGUAAGUCAGGUGUGAAAUCUCGAGGCUCAACCUCGAAACUGCACUUGAUACUGCCUUGCUCGAGUACUGGAGAGGAGAUUGGAAUUUACGGUGUAGCAGUGAAAUGCGUAGAUAUCGUAAGGAAGACCAGUGGCGAAGGCGAAUCUCUGGUCAGUUACUGACACUGAGGCACGAAGGCCAGGGGAGCAAACAGGAUUAGAUACCCUGGUAGUCCUGGCAGUAAACGGUGCGCGUUUGGUGUGGGAGGAUUCGACCCCUUCUGUGCCGGAGCUAACGCGUUAAGCGCGCCGCCUGGGGAGUACGGUCGCAAGAUUAAAACUCAAAGAAAUUGACGGGGGCCCGCACAAGCGGUGGAGUAUGUGGCUUAAUUCGAUCCACGCGAAGAACCUUACCUAGCCUUGACAUGCAUCUCUAAGUCGGUGAAAGCCGGCGACUGUAGCAAUACAGAAUUUGCACAGGUCUGCAUGGCUGUCGUCAGCUCGUGUCGUGAGAUGUUGGGUUAAGUCCCGCAACGAGCGCAACCCCUGUGAACUGUUGCCACCGACCUUCGGGUCGAGCACUCUGUUCAGACUGCCCUGUGAAACGGGGAGGAAGGUGGGGAUGACGUCAAGUCAGCAUGGCCCUUACGGCUAGGGCUGCACACGUACUACAAUGCUCAGUACAGAAUGAACCGAAACCGCGAGGUGGAGGAAAUCCCUAAAACUGAGCCCAAUUCGGAUUGGAGGCUGCAACUCGCCUCCAUGAAGCCGGAAUCGCUAGUAAUGGCGUAUCAGCUACGACGCCGUGAAUACGUUCCCGGGCCUUGUACACACCGCCCGUCACAUCAUGGAAGUCACUUGUACCCGAAGUAGGUGCGCCAACCGCAAGGAGGCAGCCUCCUAAGGUAUGGGUGGUAACUGGGAUGAAGUCGUAACAAGGUAGCCGUAGGGGAGCCUGCGGCUG
Molecule: ribosomal RNA, 1198 nt
Filed under: metagenome
Description: bacterial SSU rRNA
Rfam family: Bacterial small subunit ribosomal RNA
Source: RNAcentral